This 86-nucleotide transfer RNA is filed under the name Candidatus Thorarchaeota archaeon. RNAcentral's name for it is "tRNA-Ser". It matches the Rfam family "tRNA". Rfam says of the family: Transfer RNA (tRNA) molecules are approximately 80 nucleotides in length. Lineage: Archaea; Promethearchaeati; Candidatus Thorarchaeota. The record is from RNAcentral.
GCUGAGGUAGCCAAGCCUGGUAUGGCGCUGGAUUGCUAAUCCAGUGUGUUAUGCACUCGAGAGUUCAAAUCUCUCCCUCAGCGCCA